This 320-nucleotide ribosomal RNA is filed under the name uncultured eukaryote. RNAcentral describes it as "partial 18S ribosomal RNA". It matches the Rfam family "Eukaryotic small subunit ribosomal RNA", at positions 1470 to 1796 of the family's 1831-position model. The record is from RNAcentral.
CCCUUAGAUGUUCUGGGCCGCACGCACGCUACACUGAUGCAUUCAACGAGUUCUUCCUGGUCCGAGAGGAAUGGGUAACCUUUUGAAAGUGCAUCGUGCUAGGGAUAGACUAUUGCAAUUAUUGGUCUUCAACGAGGAAUUCCUAGUAGACGUAGUUCAUCAGACUGCAUCGAUUACGUCCCUGCCCUUUGUACACACCGCCCGUCGCUCCUACCGAUUGGAUGAUCCGGUGAGCUAUUCGGACCUGUGCAUUUUCCAUUGGAACUUGCGUGGGAAAGUCUCGCGAACCUUAUCAUCUAGAGGAAGGAGAAGUCGUAACA